Molecule: ribosomal RNA, 430 nt
Filed under: uncultured bacterium
Lineage: Bacteria
Description: bacterial SSU rRNA
Rfam family: Bacterial small subunit ribosomal RNA
Source: RNAcentral
UGAGGAAUCUUGCGCAAUGGGGGAAACCCUGACGCAGCAACGCCGCGUGAGUGAGGAAGGUCUUCGGAUCGUAAAGCUCUGUCAGUUGGGAAGAAAUACCUGAGGGUUAAUACCCUUCAGGCUUGACGGUACCAACAGAGGAAGCACCGGCUAACUCCGUGCCAGCAGCCGCGGUAAUACGGAGGGUGCAAGCGUUGUUCGGAAUUACUGGGCGUAAAGGGCGCGUAGGCGGUAAUAUAAGUCAAAUGUGAAAUCCUCCAGCUUAACUGGAGAACAGCAUCUGAAACUGUGUAACUAGAGUACAGGAGAGGGAAACGGAAUUCCCGGUGUAGAGGUGAAAUUCGUAGAUAUCGGGAGGAACACCAGCGGCGAAGGCGACCACCUGGACGGAUACUGACGCUGAGACGCGAAAGCGUGGGGAGCAAACAGG